This 1309-nucleotide long non-coding RNA is filed under the name Ursus maritimus (polar bear). Its description in RNAcentral is "lncRNA (ENSUMAG00000018015.1)". Lineage: Eukaryota; Metazoa; Chordata; Mammalia; Carnivora; Ursidae. The record is from RNAcentral.
GUCAUCAGCAGGUGAAUGUCCAGUCCCCAUUUGGUUCCUGUCUGAACUUGAGGUGAAGAGAAGAGCCAGAAACAAGAUGAGAAGAGAAAAACAGUUCCCCCCAGCGCUUGACCACAGGGCCCGGCUCAGCUACACAUGUCAAAUGCAUGGCUCUUGGAGAUGAGACCUGAUGUCCACUACACAUUGGGCACUGAACGAAUUGUUGACAAUAAGAUGCCACUUACCACAACCCUGAGGGAGGCCCAGGGCGUCAUCAGUGAUGGAAGAACAGAAGGAUGAAGAGGACUCAUGACUGAAAACUGCACUGCUGUGGAUCCAAAGGGAACCAAAAGUGGAGCCAGGAGAUAUUUGUGGAAGCUUCUGAGAAGACACAUUGAACAGAAUGGGGUGUUUGCUUCCCUGGAUCAGAAAAGAAUCACAUCGCUUUCUUUCAGUCAUGGCACAGAGUUACAGAGUCACAAGAAAGAAACAACAGAAAGAGAAUGUUUUCUGGUGGAAAGGUGUGUGUCAGACUACACUCCACGGAAGAGAGUUUGUUUGAAGGCAGAACUCAAGGUCCUGAGCAACCAGCUUGGCUAGAAGAAGAUGGAUUUGGAGCCAGGACCAGUGAGCUGCCUCCGAUGAGAGUGACAGACUGUGUAAACAAUGGCAGAGUCUGAAUGACUGUAUUUGGGCUUCUGGGGUGUUGACUGCAGGUGAACAAAUCAAAUGCCUCUUCAAAGAGCUGCCUGAGAAGAGUUGGUGAAUAUCUCCUACUACUGGGGGAGAAACAGACAGCCUUGUGAAUUGCAGCCACUCAAAUGUCACAUAACUUCCACUAGUCAUCCUUCUGUGUAUACCCCUUCCAUCCUCUGGCUCAGUUUCCCCAGGGACUGCAUCUCCAGUCUCCUUUGAGGUGGGAGAAGGGUAGAUAUCAAAUACCUGAGACGGGGAAGGGGUCCUCACCCACUGAUACUCGCUGGUGGUAUACAUACCCCCUUCUUCUUAAAUGCAGUGUUUUAUCUGUUCCAUUAAUAGUGCAAUGGAUUGAAUGUUCGUGCCCGAGUCCCAACUCAUAUGUUGAAAUUCUAAUCCCCCGUGUGAUGGUGUUUGGAGGUGGGGCCUUCAGAUGUAAUUAGGAGUAGUGUCCUUAUAAAAGGGACCCCAGAUUGCUCUUUUGCCCUCUUUCCACCAUGUGCGGAUACAACAAGAAACCAUGGUCUACAACCUCGGAAGAUGGCUCUCACCAGGACCUGACCAUACUGGACUGAUCUGUGACUUCUAGCCUCCAGAACCGUGAGAAAUAAAUGUCUGUUGUUUAUAAGCCCCA